RNAcentral lists this long non-coding RNA (3180 nucleotides) under Sorghum bicolor (sorghum). RNAcentral describes it as "long non-coding RNA (SBIC_LNC003921)". The record is from RNAcentral. Lineage: Eukaryota; Viridiplantae; Streptophyta; Magnoliopsida; Poales; Poaceae.
UCUUGCGGCCGUCCGGGUCUCUGCCCUUUCCCCUACCCUUUACUUCUAUCUAAUCUAAUCACUGGACGGGCGAUUUCUUCUUCCCCCUAGGGUCUUGUUUAGUCCCAAUUUUUUUUUUUGCAAAAUGGAUCGUUUAUAUUUAACAAAUAUUAUCUAAUCAUAGACUAACUAAAUCUAAAAAAUUCAUCUCGCAAAUUACAGAUAAGUUGUGCAAUUACUUAUUUCUUUUAUCUAUAUUUAAUACUCUCAUACAUGUCUCAUAAGAUUCGAUGUGACGAAGAAUCUACACAACUUUACAAACUUUUUUAGAACUAAACAAGGCCUAGGAAGCAAAGCAAAAAAUGUCGUCAAACUGAAUUGCAUUAUGUUUUUCACUCUAAUCGUCCACCUUCUAAUCGUCCAGUAACUAAUUGUGACCAGUCAUCCGACGACCAGAAAACCAAUCGGUGCAGAUAUAGUUUUUAUAGAAUAAUUCUUUAUCCAAUCAUAUUUAUUCUCUCUCCAUUCUCAGCCAAUUAUAUCACUUCAUAUCUUAGAUCUCAUAUAGACAUGGUUUCUAUGAUAGUUUUUAUAAUUUUUACUCUCUCUUUUCAAUAACUAUCUUGCCACAUCAACAAAAUAUUUAGGUGACACUAGAAUUAAUGUUUAUAGAAACUAUGGUAGUUUCUGCAUUGGAGUGCCCUAAUUAGACCAUCCUAAGUGGGGGGUUUCAUAACCUAGUCAAUAGUUUUCAACCCAUGAAACUUUCUCUACUCCCUUAUCACCUCUCUCUUCAUUAAUAUGUUGCUGCCUAUGACACUAUGAUGAAACACCAUGACUGGCCUUAGGCCAUAGCUCCUGAUCGAGGCCAGAAUAAUGACUAGUCACGAUUUAUUGGACGACUUAAUAACACUGGCACAAAUAUUGAGCUGCAACUCUUUUCCUUUUCAAACAUUAUUUUUUCCUGUGCUGUACAUAUGUUUCCUGAUGAUACAGACCAUGUGGGUGCGCCAUGCCAACGAUGGCAAAAAUGAAUGUUUAGUAAAAAUAAAAAAGAAUGAUUACGUUACUGUUACAUUCAGGCCGAAAAGCUCCGGAGCUCAUAAUCUUACUCCUUACGUCAAAAAACUGAAGCCGCCCAAAAGGGAGCAAGUGAAGCCAUGUACUUCAGGUGGAUGCGCUUGCCACGCCAACAAUGCAGCUCGCUCCUUGAACCGUGCUUCAUCGGGGAACUCCCUAACUAGGUCUAAAAAGAGGCCCGCAUUAGCUGGUGCAUGAUGUCUCAACCUCGCCAUUAGUUGGUUCAUCUUCGACAAGGUCACUCGAUAUGGCUGACGGUAUCCUGUGCCGUUUGAGGACCCGGGAUGUGGCAAGCUUUGCGUUCUGGUACUUCAGGACAAUGACUCUUUCAUCGUCCAAGUCAAACCUUAAGUUUUCUUCGGUGCAGCCUUCCACGAGGCUGCACAGGUGCUUCAGGUUUUCAACCUCCACACCAUUUACCUUCUUUACCUGAUCAUGCGAUAUUAGGGCAGCUUGAUUACUCAGGAUAUAUGCCAUUCGGCAGUGGGUAACUGGGAACCAGGGGAUCGUAUAUAUAGUAAAAUAACAUACCUGUAGUUCAGCAAGCCUUUCAUAACCGACAUUGAUAUCAUCCAUUAGAACCUGAAACACAAAUAUUCAGUACAAAGAUAAAUUUAUCUCAAGUUAAUGGAAACAGCAUAUGCAAAAUGUUUCAGAUUGAAUACUGAAAGGGUAAACAAAAAAUGUAUGAGGGUAGCAAAUUAAUGGAAUAAUAGAAAAAUACCUGAGAUAGGAUAACUAAUUGUUCACCAGCCUUCUUUGGAAGCUCUCUUAGUGCCCGUUCACAUAAUCGGCGUGGUGAGGCAUUAUACCAGUCUUCUCCAAAUUCAUGGAGAUAAGGCUGGGUAAAUGGGAUAAAAACAAAACCAGCAAAUAUGUAGUAGCUCGGUAAUUUAUCAAAUUGAUGGACUGGGACUAAAGGUUGCAGCUGCAUAAUAAACAACAGAAAUCCGUAAAAGAUCAGUUCCAACUUCAAAUGUCAAUAAGCUCUAUGGCUAGCAAUAGAUAGAAAUAGUGGGGGGACUAGCCACAGUUUUCUGGGCUCUAUGAAGAGGGAGGAAUAAUGUCUGUUCUGAAAAGAAAAGGACGAAAUCUCCUACUGAUAUAAUCAGUUCACUCUGUUUGUUCAUUUCAUAUUGGGCAGGGCUGCAUAAUCCAGAGAGCUGUAAUGAGCUUUAGCAAGGAGCAGAAGUACUUAAGACUUUGGCACUGUAGUGCCAUCAACUAGACCAGCAGCAAGGAGUCCAGGAGACCCAAAUGAUCCAAGAUGGUGUGAUCAGUCGAAGUCUUGAAGAUUGCGACUGUAACACAAAUCCUGUUGGAUCUCGCCAAUGAUGUUGCCAUUUUUCACUCGUGAUGUCAUGUGGGGGCGCCAUUACUCCCGCAGGCAGCACAAAACCAGGGGCAGUGAUGGCGCCAGCAAGGCUUAGGCACAUGGUGAUCAUGCCCAAAUGGCACCCAGCAACAGAUCAGGGAUAUCAGCAUGCAAGGGAAGGCUAAGUUUAGGGGCUUUAUGGCUUUCAAUUCCUGUUAAUUAGUGGCCUCAGCGCCUAUUUAUAUGGGCUGUACUCAGACCUCAAGAAUCAAGCAAUUUCCCUAAUCUACCUAUGCUAUCUUAAUCUCACCUAUUCACCAUUGAGCGUUCUGGGAAGAAACCCAGCGCCAGUACCAACUCCGGCUACGAACUCCAUAGCUGUGGUCCAGCAACCUUGAGCAUCAACGCCCUUGACACAUGACAUCUUUGUUCUAAUUUGUAUUUAGUUCUGUGUGGCUCUAACUUCUUUCUGUCAUUGUGUUAUUAAAGGUCUAAACUCUGUAACAUGGUUCACGGGUGACUGGUUUAAGCUCAAGCCCUGGGUGCUUGAGUUUAAUCAGGUAUGGUAUUAGGUAAGUAGUGGUAAACAGGUGAAACUUUGUCAUUUAGUUACUCUAUAAGUAAUGGAAUUCGGGUUCACCCGCUAUGGGAAAAAAUGAUGUGCGCAAAGAGAAGGGCCGUGAGAGCUGUGUAGAAUACAAUUUGGUCCAAUUUUGUGUACUACUACGACCUACAUAAGAGAUGACUUCAUCUCUGCACCCUUUCAACUACUUAGAUAGGCCAACAUGGGUCCAAAAAGUUCCAUU